RNAcentral lists this unclassified non-coding RNA (240 nucleotides) under soil metagenome. RNAcentral's name for it is "partial contains 5.8S ribosomal RNA, internal transcribed spacer 2, and large subunit ribosomal RNA". The record is from RNAcentral.
AACCUAGCACACCUGCGGUGUGUACCUGCGGAAGGAUCAUUACACAAUAAACAUAUGAAGGCUGCACCGCCAACAGGCGGCAAGGCUGGAGUAUUUUAUUACCCUUGUCUUUUGCGCACUUGUUGUUUCCUGGGCGGGUUCGCCCGCCUCCAGGACCACAUGAUAAACCUUUUUUAUGCAGUUGCAAUCAGCGUCAGUACAACAAAUGUAAAUCAUUUACAACUUUUAACAAUGGAUCUC